Molecule: ribosomal RNA, 486 nt
Filed under: uncultured bacterium
Lineage: Bacteria
Description: bacterial SSU rRNA
Rfam family: Bacterial small subunit ribosomal RNA
Source: RNAcentral
AGAGUUUGAUCCUGGCUCAGAAUCAACGCUGGCGGCGUGCCUAACACAUGCAAGUCGAGCGAGAAAGUGGAGCAAUCCAUGAGUACAGCGGCGCACGGGUGAGUAACACGUGACUAACCUACCCUCGAGUGGGGAAUAACUUCGGGAAACCGAGGCUAAUACCGCAUAACACUUACGAGUCAAAGGAGAAAUCCGCUUGAGGAGGGGGUCGCGGCCGAUUAGUUAGUUGGCAGGGUAAUGGCCUACCAAGACGAUGAUCGGUAUCCGGCCUGAGAGGGCGCACGGACACACUGGAACUGAAACACGGUCCAGACUCCUACGGGAGGCAGCAGUGGGGAAUUUUGCGCAAUGGGGGAAACCCUGACGCAGCAACGCCGCGUGGAGGAUGAAGUCCUUCGGGACGUAAACUCCUUUCGAUCGGGACGAUUAUGACGGUACCGGAAGAAGAAGCCCCGGCUAACUUCGUGCCAGCCGCCGCGGUAAUAC